UACGUAGGAGACGAGCGUUGUCCGGAGUUACUGGGCGUAAAGGGUGCGCAGGUGGCGGCGCGCGUGGGGGGGUGAAAUCGCCCGGCUUAACUGGGCGGGGGCCUUCCAGACGGCGUGGCUUGAGCAGCGGAGGGGGACGUGGAAUUCCGGGUGGAGCGGUGAAAUGCGUAGAGAUCAGGAAGAACACCCGUGGCGAAGGCGGCCCACUGGGCCGGUACUGACGCUGAGGCGCGAAGGCGUGGGGAGCGAACGGG
RNAcentral lists this ribosomal RNA (254 nucleotides) under uncultured bacterium. RNAcentral's name for it is "partial 16S ribosomal RNA". It matches the Rfam family "Bacterial small subunit ribosomal RNA", at positions 524 to 776 of the family's 1533-position model. The record is from RNAcentral.